AAGGCUUGACAUGCACUAGAUCGCCACAGAGAUGUGGUUUCCCUUCGGGGCUGGUGUACAGGUGGUGCAUGGUUGUCGUCAGCUCGUGUCGUGAGAUGUUGGGUUAAGUCCCGCAACGAGCGGAACCCCUAUUCUAUGUUGCCAGCAAUUCGGUUGGGGACUCAUGGGAGACUGCCGGGGUCAACUCGGAGGAAGGUGGGGACGACGUCAAAUCAUCAUGCCCCUUAUGUCUUGGGCUUCACGCAUGCUACAAUGGCCGGCACAAUGGGUUGCGAGACUGUGAGGUUGAGCUAAUCCCAUAAAACCGGUCUCAGUUCGGAUUGGGGUCUGCAACUCGACCCCAUGAAGUCGGAGUCGCUAGUAAUCGCAGAUCAGCAACGCUGCGGUGAAUACGUUCCCGGGCC
Molecule: ribosomal RNA, 404 nt
Filed under: uncultured bacterium
Lineage: Bacteria
Description: bacterial SSU rRNA
Rfam family: Bacterial small subunit ribosomal RNA
Source: RNAcentral